UACACACCUCAGAGCCAACUUCAAUAAAGAAUUUUAUUCUAAAUUUACUACUAAAUCCACCUUAAUAAUAUUUUACAUACCUAAUCCGUAUAAUUUUAAUUUAUUGUAACCCACUUCUCCCAUACUUAUAAGCUGCACCUUGACCUGAAGUCUUAAAUUUUAAAUUAAUUAGAUUAUAUUUUCUAAAAAUAAUCUGACAACGGCGGUAUACAAACUGAAUACAAAAGUAUGUGCAUUUAAACGUGGAAUAUCGAUCCAAGAGCAGGUUCCUCUAGUAAGAAUGAAGUACCGCCAAAUUCUUUAGGUUUCAAUAAAUCUACUACCCUGGCAAUAAAUUUAAUAAAGA
RNAcentral lists this ribosomal RNA (346 nucleotides) under Triops mauritanicus. Its description in RNAcentral is "partial 12S ribosomal RNA". Lineage: Eukaryota; Metazoa; Arthropoda; Branchiopoda; Notostraca; Triopsidae. The record is from RNAcentral.